AUCUGGAGUGGAUAUGGUGGCUGAAGUGGGACUCGACUUCGUGACCAAGGCAAACUCGUCUAUAUUCAUCCGGACUACUGGUCGCAACUUCUCAGUGUGAGAUUCUGGACUUGCAUGUUCAUGCAGCAGAGUUUCAGCCUUAUUCCAAGUCCGACUCUUUGUCCAUCGGACGCAGUGAACGCCUCACCCGAGCUGACAGUUCGAUGCCACAGUACUUGCACUUUUCUAUCAUCGAUGUUCCUGGGGCGUUGUUCAGCCUGUGGAUGGUGGAUGCAGCUCUCCCAGUCAUCGUUCGUGAAUAGUUCACAUUCUUAGCUCUGUGAUUCUGUGUGUACCCAGGAACAUGGAUCGGUGCCACCAGUUGUUCGUUAUUC
This 374-nucleotide long non-coding RNA is filed under the name Gigantopelta aegis. Its description in RNAcentral is "uncharacterized LOC121367201". The record is from RNAcentral. Lineage: Eukaryota; Metazoa; Mollusca; Gastropoda; Neomphalida; Peltospiridae.